Molecule: ribosomal RNA, 511 nt
Filed under: uncultured Chloroflexota bacterium
Lineage: Bacteria; Bacillati; Chloroflexota
Description: bacterial SSU rRNA
Rfam family: Bacterial small subunit ribosomal RNA
Source: RNAcentral
UAGGGAAUAUUGCACAAUGGGCGAAAGCCUGAUGCAGCAACGCCGCGUGCGCGAUGAAGGCCUUCGGGUCGUAAAGCGCUUUUCUGGGAGAAGAGGAAGGACGGUAUCCCAGGAAGAAGGCUCGGCUAACUACGUGCCAGCAGCCGCGGUAAAACGUAGGAGCCAAGCGUUAUCCGAAUUUACUGGGCGUAAAGCGCGUGCAGGCGGCUCGAUAAGUUGAUUGUGAAAUCGCCCGGCUCAACUGGGCGAGGCCGGUCAAGACUGUCGGGCUGGAGGGCAGUAGAGGGAGGUGGAAUUCCCGGUGUAGUGGUGAAAUGCGUAGAGAUCGGGAGGAACACCAGUGGCGAAAGCGGCCUCCUGGGCUGUAUCUGACGCUCAGACGCGAAAGCUAGGGGGAGCAAACGGGAUUAGAAACCCCGGUAGUCCUAGCUGUAAACGAUGUCGACUUGGCGACGGUGGGGUAAAAGCCGAUCGGUGCCGGAGCAAACGCGGUAAGUCGACCGCCUGGGGA